Non-coding RNA from Podarcis muralis (Common wall lizard), 73 nucleotides. Lineage: Eukaryota; Metazoa; Chordata; Lepidosauria; Squamata; Lacertidae. The record is from the annotation of a RefSeq genome assembly.
CCCUUGUUAGCUCAGUUGGUAGAGCAUCAGACUCUUGACCUCAGGGUCGUGGGUUCGAGCCCCACACUGGGCA